This 399-nucleotide ribosomal RNA is filed under the name uncultured bacterium. Its description in RNAcentral is "bacterial SSU rRNA". It matches the Rfam family "Bacterial small subunit ribosomal RNA", at positions 29 to 455 of the family's 1533-position model. The record is from RNAcentral.
AACGAACGCUGGCGGCAGGCCUAACACAUGCAAGUCGGACGAGAAGGUUCCUUCGGGAACUGGAGAGUGGCGCACGGGUGAGUAACGCGUGGGGACCUACCUCUUAGUGGGGGAUAACGGUUGGAAACGACCGCUAAUACCGCAUACGCCCUUCGGGGAAGAUUAUCGCUAAGAGAUGGACCCGCGUUGGAUUAGAUAGUUGGUGAGGUAAUGGCUCACCAAGUCAGCGAUCCAUAGCUGGUUUGAGAGGAUGAUCAGCCACACUGGGACUGAGACACGGCCCAGACUCCUACGGGAGCAGCAGUGGGAUAUGGACAAUGGGGCAACCUGAUCCAGCCAUGCCGCGUGAGUGAAGAAGGCCUUGGGUUGUAAAGCUCUUUCAGAUGCGAAGAUGUGACG